Molecule: transfer RNA, 55 nt
Filed under: Perkinsus marinus ATCC 50983
Lineage: Eukaryota; Perkinsozoa; Perkinsida; Perkinsidae
Rfam family: tRNA
About the family: Transfer RNA (tRNA) molecules are approximately 80 nucleotides in length.
Source: Rfam by way of RNAcentral
GUUAGCACUCCAGACUCUGAAUCUGACGAUCUGGGUUCAAAUCCCGGUAAAACCU